RNAcentral lists this ribosomal RNA (2929 nucleotides) under Bacillus cereus. Its description in RNAcentral is "bacterial LSU rRNA". It matches the Rfam family "Bacterial large subunit ribosomal RNA". Lineage: Bacteria; Bacillati; Bacillota; Bacilli; Caryophanales; Bacillaceae. The record is from RNAcentral. RNAcentral also lists the same sequence under 1 other name.
UUUGGUUAAGUUAGAAAGGGCGCACGGUGGAUGCCUUGACACUAGGAGUCGAUGAAGGACGGGACUAACGCCGAUAUGCUUCGGGGAGCUGUAAGUAAGCUUUGAUCCGAAGAUUUCCGAAUGGGGAAACCCACCAUACGUAAUGGUAUGGUAUCCUUAUCUGAAUACAUAGGGUAAGGAAGACAGACCCAGGGAACUGAAACAUCUAAGUACCUGGAGGAAGAGAAAGCAAAUGCGAUUUCCUGAGUAGCGGCGAGCGAAACGGAACAUAGCCCAAACCAAGAGGCUUGCCUCUUGGGGUUGUAGGACAUUCUAUACGGAGUUACAAAGGAACGAGGUAGACGAAGCGACCUGGAAAGGUCCGUCGUAGAGGGUAACAACCCCGUAGUCGAAACUUCGUUCUCUCUUGAAUGUAUCCUGAGUACGGCGGAACACGUGAAAUUCCGUCGGAAUCUGGGAGGACCAUCUCCCAAGGCUAAAUACUCCCUAGUGAUCGAUAGAGAACCAGUACCGUGAGGGAAAGGUGAAAAGCACCCCGGAAGGGGAGUGAAAGAGAUCCUGAAACCGUGUGCCUACAAAUAGUCAGAGCCCGUUAACGGGUGAUGGCGUGCCUUUUGUAGAAUGAACCGGCGAGUUACGAUCCCGUGCGAGGUUAAGCUGAAGAGGCGGAGCCGCAGCGAAAGCGAGUCUGAAUAGGGCGUUUAGUACGUGGUCGUAGACCCGAAACCAGGUGAUCUACCCAUGUCCAGGGUGAAGUUCAGGUAACACUGAAUGGAGGCCCGAACCCACGCACGUUGAAAAGUGCGGGGAUGAGGUGUGGGUAGCGGAGAAAUUCCAAUCGAACCUGGAGAUAGCUGGUUCUCCCCGAAAUAGCUUUAGGGCUAGCCUUAAGUGUAAGAGUCUUGGAGGUAGAGCACUGAUUGGACUAGGGGUCCUCAUCGGAUUACCGAAUUCAGUCAAACUCCGAAUGCCAAUGACUUAUCCUUAGGAGUCAGACUGCGAGUGAUAAGAUCCGUAGUCAAAAGGGAAACAGCCCAGACCGCCAGCUAAGGUCCCAAAGUGUGUAUUAAGUGGAAAAGGAUGUGGAGUUGCUUAGACAACUAGGAUGUUGGCUUAGAAGCAGCCACCAUUUAAAGAGUGCGUAAUAGCUCACUAGUCGAGUGACUCUGCGCCGAAAAUGUACCGGGGCUAAAUACACCACCGAAGCUGCGGAUUGAUACCAAUGGUAUCAGUGGUAGGGGAGCGUUCUAAGGACAGUGAAGUCAGACCGGAAGGACUGGUGGAGUGCUUAGAAGUGAGAAUGCCGGUAUGAGUAGCGAAAGACGGGUGAGAAUCCCGUCCACCGAAUGCCUAAGGUUUCCUGAGGAAGGCUCGUCCGCUCAGGGUUAGUCAGGACCUAAGCCGAGGCCGACAGGCGUAGGCGAUGGACAACAGGUUGAUAUUCCUGUACCACCUCUUUAUCGUUUGAGCAAUGGAGGGACGCAGAAGGAUAGAAGAAGCGUGCGAUUGGUUGUGCACGUCCAAGCAGUUAGGCUGAUAAGUAGGCAAAUCCGCUUAUCGUGAAGGCUGAGCUGUGAUGGGGAAGCUCCUUAUGGAGCGAAGUCUUUGAUUCCCCGCUGCCAAGAAAAGCUUCUAGCGAGAUAAAAGGUGCCUGUACCGCAAACCGACACAGGUAGGCGAGGAGAGAAUCCUAAGGUGUGCGAGAGAACUCUGGUUAAGGAACUCGGCAAAAUGACCCCGUAACUUCGGGAGAAGGGGUGCUUUCUUAACGGAAAGCCGCAGUGAAUAGGCCCAAGCGACUGUUUAGCAAAAACACAGCUCUCUGCGAAGCCGUAAGGCGAAGUAUAGGGGGUGACACCUGCCCGGUGCUGGAAGGUUAAGGAGAGGGGUUAGCGUAAGCGAAGCUCUGAACUGAAGCCCCAGUAAACGGCGGCCGUAACUAUAACGGUCCUAAGGUAGCGAAAUUCCUUGUCGGGUAAGUUCCGACCCGCACGAAAGGUGUAACGAUUUGGGCACUGUCUCAACCAGAGACUCGGUGAAAUUAUAGUACCUGUGAAGAUGCAGGUUACCCGCGACAGGACGGAAAGACCCCGUGGAGCUUUACUGUAGCCUGAUAUUGAAUUUUGGUACAGUUUGUACAGGAUAGGCGGGAGCCUUUGAAACCGGAGCGCUAGCUUCGGUGGAGGCGCUGGUGGGAUACCGCCCUGACUGUAUUGAAAUUCUAACCUACGGGUCUUAUCGACCCGGGAGACAGUGUCAGGUGGGCAGUUUGACUGGGGCGGUCGCCUCCUAAAGUGUAACGGAGGCGCCCAAAGGUUCCCUCAGAAUGGUUGGAAAUCAUUCGUAGAGUGCAAAGGCAUAAGGGAGCUUGACUGCGAGACCUACAAGUCGAGCAGGGACGAAAGUCGGGCUUAGUGAUCCGGUGGUUCCGCAUGGAAGGGCCAUCGCUCAACGGAUAAAAGCUACCCCGGGGAUAACAGGCUUAUCUCCCCCAAGAGUCCACAUCGACGGGGAGGUUUGGCACCUCGAUGUCGGCUCAUCGCAUCCUGGGGCUGUAGUCGGUCCCAAGGGUUGGGCUGUUCGCCCAUUAAAGCGGUACGCGAGCUGGGUUCAGAACGUCGUGAGACAGUUCGGUCCCUAUCCGUCGUGGGCGUAGGAAAUUUGAGAGGAGCUGUCCUUAGUACGAGAGGACCGGGAUGGACGCACCGCUGGUGUACCAGUUGUUCUGCCAAGGGCAUAGCUGGGUAGCUAUGUGCGGAAGGGAUAAGUGCUGAAAGCAUCUAAGCAUGAAGCCCCCCUCAAGAUGAGAUUUCCUAUAGCGUAAGCUAGUAAGAUCCCUGAAAGAUGAUCAGGUUGAUAGGUUCGAGGUGGAAGCAUGGUGACAUGUGGAGCUGACGAAUACUAAUAGAUCGAGGACUUAACCAUAUAA